UAACGCGUCUGGGCAGGAUACUACGUGUUACUCACCCGUCCGCCACUCGUUGGCGACCAAAAUCUAUCAGGUGCAAGCACCAUCAAUCAAUUGGGCCAACGCGUUCGACUUGCAUGUAUUAGGCACACCGCCGGCGUUCAUCCUGAGCCAUGAUCAAACUC
Molecule: ribosomal RNA, 161 nt
Filed under: Limosilactobacillus fermentum
Lineage: Bacteria; Bacillati; Bacillota; Bacilli; Lactobacillales; Lactobacillaceae
Description: Lactobacillus fermentum partial 16S ribosomal RNA
Source: RNAcentral